UUCAACCAUCACGGCACUAUUGGGUUGGAACACCCAAGGUCGAGGUGAUUGAA
Molecule: small RNA, 53 nt
Filed under: Ciona intestinalis (vase tunicate)
Lineage: Eukaryota; Metazoa; Chordata; Ascidiacea; Phlebobranchia; Cionidae
Description: Ciona intestinalis miR-4051 stem-loop (ENSCING00000024794.1)
Source: RNAcentral